GGGGUAUUAGUUAAAUAAUAACAUCACCUUGUCAAGAUGAAGCUAUGGGUUAAACCCCCCAUAUAUCCCU
RNAcentral lists this transfer RNA (70 nucleotides) under Osteocephalus aff. helenae DO-2022. RNAcentral describes it as "tRNA-Asp". It matches the Rfam family "tRNA". Rfam says of the family: Transfer RNA (tRNA) molecules are approximately 80 nucleotides in length. Their secondary structure includes four short double-helical elements and three loops (D, anti-codon, and T loops). The record is from RNAcentral. Lineage: Eukaryota; Metazoa; Chordata; Amphibia; Anura; Hylidae.